CUCACCGCCAACGUCCCUGCUGUGGCUGGUGUCGCCACCGCGGAAGCCACCUGCGUCACCACUGGAGGAAGGGAUAUUCGCACCGUAGCUGCGGUUUAUGCCGCCAGAAUUGCCCUGCCACCGCCAGAAUUUCUGGUCGCUGCCGUUCUGUGACUGUCAUAAGUUACGUUAUCGCUGCCGGAGAAGCUGUUGUGGUUGUCGGAACCAUCACCGGAGCUCCUGCAGUUUGAUUUAGUCUUUAAUCCUUUCUCACGGGUCAAGCUCCGAUUGUUGCGGGUCACGAUUUAAGCUGCCGCCGAAUCGGUUCGAAGACCGCCGCUGUUCGGUUCAGCCAUCUUUUCUUUGUUUCGGAGUUAGAAUCCGGUUUGUUUAUGCUGCUUGUAGCUGUUUCUGCUUUCGAGAAAGAGCAAGCAGGGCCGGGGUUCAGAUUGUCAGUGAUUUCGGGCUGAGAAAAAAGGAAUCAGUUAACGAGUUUGGGUGAUAGUUUUGAUUCACCGAGGAUAUGGGCGCAGAAGUUACGAAGAAUUUAUUUAGUUAUUGUUGUGAUGUUCUGUAUUGCUUUGGAUUAUUAAUUAUUGUACCCUCGCCUUUAUCUUGAUAUAUUCUAUAAGAGGGAUAGGGAUUGUAUUGGCUAAUGUCUGUAAUAUUAGUUAUAUAUAUGUAUGUAUAUAUGGAUGUACUCUUUAUGAGUUUUCGUAAGUUGUAUGGUUUCUUUGGAUGUACGUUAUCGAACGAAAGUAUUUUUGGGAGCGGUAUUGCGGUUUAAAAUUUUUAAACAGGCUCAUAUUUUUAGUAUUAAAUAGUAUAAGUGUCGUCGUAAUGUCCGAGCUAUCAGAGUUGCGCAGCCGGA
This is a long non-coding RNA of Arachis stenosperma, 850 nucleotides long. RefSeq lists it as uncharacterized. The transcript has 5 exons. The record is from RefSeq and is a predicted model, not a curated record. NCBI's taxonomy places the organism in Eukaryota, Viridiplantae, Streptophyta, Magnoliopsida, Fabales, Fabaceae.